This 215-nucleotide ribosomal RNA is filed under the name Campeiostachys nutans. Its description in RNAcentral is "Elymus nutans partial small subunit ribosomal RNA". The stretch from base 37 to 215 matches the Rfam family "Eukaryotic small subunit ribosomal RNA", at positions 684 to 864 of the family's 1831-position model. The record is from RNAcentral. Lineage: Eukaryota; Viridiplantae; Streptophyta; Magnoliopsida; Poales; Poaceae.
GGAUCAAUAUAUCGGUCGUGCCUUGGUACGUACUGGUAUUAUUGAUUUCUACCUUCUGACGAACCAUGAUGUCAUUAAUUUGGUGUCUUGGGGAAUCAGGACUGUUACUUUGAAAAAAUUAGAGUGUUUAAAGCAGGCUUUAGCUUGAAUACAUUAGCAUGGAAUAAUGAAAUAGGACGUUCGAACCUAUUUUGUUGGUUUCUAGGAUCAACGUA